This 75-nucleotide transfer RNA is filed under the name Candidatus Woesebacteria bacterium. Its description in RNAcentral is "tRNA-Met". It matches the Rfam family "tRNA". Rfam says of the family: Transfer RNA (tRNA) molecules are approximately 80 nucleotides in length. Their secondary structure includes four short double-helical elements and three loops (D, anti-codon, and T loops). The record is from RNAcentral. Lineage: Bacteria; Candidatus Woeseibacteriota.
GGCUGGGUAGCUCAAUGGUUGAGCAGGCGCUUCAUACGCGCAAGGUUGUGGGUUCGAAUCCCACCCCAGCCACUA